RNAcentral lists this ribosomal RNA (572 nucleotides) under uncultured Lachnospiraceae bacterium. RNAcentral's name for it is "bacterial SSU rRNA". It matches the Rfam family "Bacterial small subunit ribosomal RNA", at positions 35 to 605 of the family's 1533-position model. The record is from RNAcentral. Lineage: Bacteria; Bacillati; Bacillota; Clostridia; Lachnospirales; Lachnospiraceae.
GCUGGCGGCGUGCUUAACACAUGCAAGUCGAACGAAGCACUUUAUUUGAUCCCCUUCGGGACUGAUUAUUUUGUGACUGAGUGGCGGACGGGUGAGUAACGCGUGGGUAACCUGCCUUGUACAGGGGGAUAACAGUUGGAAACGGCUGCUAAUACCGCAUAAGCGCACGGCAUCGCAUGAUGCAGUGUGAAAAACUCCGGUGGUAUAAGAUGGACCCGCGUUGGAUUAGCUAGUUGGUGAGGUAACGGCCCACCAAGGCGACGAUCCAUAGCCGACCUGAGAGGGUGACCGGCCACAUUGGGACUGAGACACGGCCCAAACUCCUACGGGAGGCAGCAGUGGGGAAUAUUGCACAAUGGGCGAAAGCCUGAUGCAGCGACGCCGCGUGAGCGAAGAAGUAUUUCGGUAUGUAAAGCUCUAUCAGCAGGGAAGAUAAUGACGGUACCUGACUAAGAAGCACCGGCUAAAUACGUGCCAGCAGCCGCGGUAAUACGUAUGGUGCAAGCGUUAUCCGGAUUUACUGGGUGUAAAGGGAGCGCAGGCGGUGCGGCAAGUCUGAUGUGAAAGCCCGG